GACAACGUGGCCGAGUGGUUAAGGCGUUUGACUCGAAUUAUCCAAUUCAAGCAUAUCAAAUUUCUUCGGAAGCACAGGUUCGAGUCCUGUCGUUGUCG
Delitschia confertaspora ATCC 74209 is the source of this 98-nucleotide non-coding RNA. The record is from the annotation of a GenBank genome assembly. Lineage: Eukaryota; Fungi; Ascomycota; Dothideomycetes; Pleosporales; Delitschiaceae.